GAUUUUCAGAAAAUGUAGGACUAUCUUUCGUUUUUCCUCUCUUUUACUAUGAUGAUUUUCCUGCUGUGAAGCUUUUCUUGUAUAAAGCUCAAUUUCUCUCUGACCACGGAAGUAAACAUCCUGAUGCAUUCUUGUCAUGUGAAUGUUGAGAGCGUGUUCAUUUUUGAAAUCUCCUUUCUGACAGACCUAUUCCACAGGAUCAGCUGAGAUGUUAUUUCACUGGAUUAUUUAAUGGAUAGGCUUAUUGGGCAUAUAUUUGGAUAUCUCUGUAAUGAGCUUUUCAAAAAAUGAAGGACUACAUGUUGUACUGUGAUGAUGCUAAAAAAAAAAUGUAUUUUUCUGUAUGCAGUACUGACAGUCAUCAACAUGGAAGAUAAGUUUUGUUCCUAACCAUCUAUAAUCAAUUCUCUAUGAAGUUCAGACUGUCUGCCCUUCCUUUGGAAAUACACAGUUAGUCAACCAACAUAGAAACACACAAACUUGAAGGAUUCUCUAGUGAGGGCUUAUGGAAAUGAUCUAUGUCUACUCUUAGAAUGGUGAAAGACUAUCAGAUUAUGCAAAGACUAACAGAAUAUCCUCUCUUGGAACACUGAAACAAGAAAACCAAACUUAAGAGGAUGGUGGAUUUAAGAAGAACAUAGAUAAAUAUGAUUUCCAACGAAUUUAACCAGUACGAUCAUAGACUGUGGUUAACAGGAUGACAAAGAAAGGACCCAGGAUUGUAUCUUUCACUGUCAGACACUGACUAUGGAUAAAGUGUAAUCAUUUAUCAAACUGAGAUCUAGUCAAAUCAAGUAUUGAAAAUAUGAUUUUCUGAUAGCAUGAGCUCUUUAAAAACUAAUUCUCACGGACCUCAAAGUAUCUGAAUGUGACUUUUAUUUUUACCAAUUCAUAUUGAAGACUGUUGUUAUGUAUGGGAAUUACACAUUUAAACCUUUUAUUUUUCAUCUAAUUUUUACAACCCCUAUAAAUUACACAGAUAUCCUGAUGCUGGAUUUAAUGUUAUUAUUUAACUUUCCUGGAAUUGUAAAUAUAUUUUGUUUGUGUAUGUAUCAUGUUUAAUUUUGAAUUUAAAAUUGGUCUCAAUAAGACCCCCAAUAAAGAUGCAACUGUCUUAUAAUCUGUGGUUUAAUAAUAUCUUGAAUAUCUUUAUCAUACCAUAUUCAUCAUACUAAUUACAUAUAGAAUGGUUGUAGGAAUACACUUAGUUUUAUAGGACACUUUGUCAGGGUCAAAGCAUGAGAUAAUUGAGAUAACUACCUUUGACAAUAAUUUGUAACCUGCAAAAUUCACAUCAUAAGUAAAGAAAGAUUCGGAGAUUUUCUAUAGAUUUUUGGAUCAUUUUCUCCUGGAUAAAAUUUAGUUGUUGUAACUUUAACAUUUUGUGAUAACCUAAAGACUUUAUAUCAGCUCUAUUGGGUGGCAUAGCAUAUUCUUUGGAAAGAAUUGAAAUGUUAAUCAUAUGCACUAUGUUCAAGGAUGUUUAAAGACUAUUACUAUGUAAUACCUUAGAAUUCUGUAAAAAUUUUAUUAUCACUGCGUAGAUAAAGACUGGUUAGGAUAAUUUAUGUUUUGAAAUAAGGUUUAGGGAAAAAAGUCAAGAAUGUGGAUAUGACUUUUAUUCAUAUGGUGCAGUACAGCAACUCUGGUGAUUUACAUACCUUCAGUCAUGAAUACAU
This is a long non-coding RNA of Saccostrea cuccullata (small rock oyster), 1679 nucleotides long. RefSeq lists it as uncharacterized. The record is from RefSeq and is a predicted model, not a curated record. The transcript has 5 exons. NCBI's taxonomy places the organism in Eukaryota, Metazoa, Mollusca, Bivalvia, Ostreida, Ostreidae.